This 458-nucleotide ribosomal RNA is filed under the name uncultured bacterium. Its description in RNAcentral is "partial 16S ribosomal RNA". It matches the Rfam family "Bacterial small subunit ribosomal RNA", at positions 338 to 795 of the family's 1533-position model. The record is from RNAcentral.
CCUACGGGUGGCAGCAGUGAGGAAUAUUGGUCAAUGGGCGAGAGCCUGAACCAGCCAAGUCGCGUGAGGGAGUACUGCCCUAUGGGUUGUAAACCUCUUUUGUCGGGGAGCAAAAGCCGGACGUGUUCGGCUGUGAGAGUACCCGAAGAAAAAGCAUCGGCUAACUCCGUGACAGCAGCCGCGGUAAUACGGAGGAUGCGAGCGUUAUCCGGAUUUAUUGGGUUUAAAGGGUGCGCAGGCGGAUUUUUAAGUCAGCGGUAAAAUCGUGGGGGAAAACCCCGUCCAGCCGUGGAAACUGGGAGGCUAGAGUUGGAGAGAGGUAGGCGGAAUGAGCGGUGUAGCGGUGAAAUGAAUAGAGAGCGCGCAGAACGACGAUUGCGAAGGAAGCAUGCCGGCUCCACACUGACGCUGAGGCACGAAAGCGUGGGGAGCGAACAGGAUGAGAUACACUAGUAGUC